This 67-nucleotide transfer RNA is filed under the name Iridona iridescens. Its description in RNAcentral is "Moerella iridescens tRNA-Ala". The record is from RNAcentral. Lineage: Eukaryota; Metazoa; Mollusca; Bivalvia; Cardiida; Tellinidae.
AGUACUAUACUUUAAAUAAAAAGGUUAGAUUUGCGUUCUUAUAAUGGGAAUUAUUUCUCUAGUGCUG